Long non-coding RNA from Myzus persicae (green peach aphid), 1134 nucleotides. RefSeq lists it as uncharacterized. The record is from RefSeq and is a predicted model, not a curated record. The transcript is spliced from 2 exons. NCBI's taxonomy places the organism in Eukaryota, Metazoa, Arthropoda, Insecta, Hemiptera, Aphididae.
UUAAAAGUGUUUUAUUAAUUUUAAUUUGUAUACAUUUAUUAACCAAAAUUAGUAAAAUAAAAAAAAAAUGAAUACUUGUGAAGUUCAUAAUAUGGAUAGCUAGGAUACUAUAGGUAGUCACAGGAUAAUAAAAAUAAUUAAAAAUACUCUCAUUUUGUAAACGGAAAAGUAAAUAAAAAACAAGAAACUUUUCAAAUAUUUGUCUAAAAAAUUUUUUUAUGAAAUAAUAUGCGCUAUCAACUCUAAAAAAUCGACUAUAUGCCAAAUAUGCCCUAACACCCAAAACAUGCAAAAACAUGCACUAUUAAACUUUAUAUUAUUAUUACUACUGUUAUGAAACGGAUUUGUAUCUCAGUUAGCAUGUUUUUCGGUGUAGCAGAAAAAACAUGCGGAUGCAUGAACUUACGAGCCCUGGUUAUGAUAUUCUAAGUAUUAUACAGUCAGUUAUAAGUAAAAUUAAAUUAUUUAAAAUCUAAAAAGUUACAAUUUAAUUUUGUUUUUUAGUUUACUAUUUUAUAUGGACUCUUGUAUUUAUAUUUUAUUAUGUAAUUAUUUUUUUUAUAAAUAACCAAUAUACAUUGGUUUGUUCAAAUCUGAAUUUUUAAAAAUCAUAAAUUUGUCAAUACUUAUUUCGGGACAUUCAUAGAUGAAUUCCUUUUUUCACACAUAAAUACUAUUGCAAAACUAGUCGCGAAAUAAUAAUAAAAAUUCAUCGUAGUAUCGCCGUAAAAUACUAAAUGAUAAUGAAAUCGGUAUAUAUACGUAUUUUAAUAAUAUUAUAAUAACAAUCGUUUUUGAAGAAUCGUGAUAACAAUAAUAAUAAUAGGUAGGUGGCGGCGGCGGCGGCAACAGCAGCUGCUGCAGCUGUAUAUCAUUACACAUAAAUUUACUAUGAAAUCUUACACACGCGCGCGGUGCUAUAAAUGUUCGGAAUACGAUUAUUUCCCUCUAAAACACGAUGGCGUGAUGAUAAAAAUGAAAAAUUCAAAUUUUGAUACCGGAAGGCACGAUUAAAGUGUGUACCGACUACCGAGUGACAAACGGCGAUUUCGAGAAGCAAAAAUUUCACGACCACCUCGACGAGUUUUUUACCGACGCCCGAGUAAUAUUCGCAAAGUAACUGGCCCAGUCGUC